AGUCAACCUACGAUCCCCCGUUUUAACCCCAAAAAGGGGUAGAUUUCUAAAUAUUCAUUAUUUGGUCAUCUUUUCAGCAUCUAUAGAGCUUACACUUUAAAUUUUAAGUCUCUUACUUCAAAAACAUAGGACUUUCAUACAAACUUCCAACCCCCGUUUUACCCCCUGAGGGAUCGAUUUCGUAAAAUUCAUUCUUAGCGGUAGUUUACGCUGUAUAAGGAACCUCCCUGCU
This 232-nucleotide unclassified non-coding RNA is filed under the name Melitaea cinxia (Glanville fritillary). RNAcentral describes it as "misc RNA ENSMCXG00005015863.1". The record is from RNAcentral. Lineage: Eukaryota; Metazoa; Arthropoda; Insecta; Lepidoptera; Nymphalidae.